AGCUAUGGCUAUGCCACCCUGAACGUGCCCAAUUUUGUCUGAUCUCGGAAGCUAAGCAGUGUUGGGUCUGGUUAGUACUUGGAUGGGAGACCACCUAGGAAUAUCAGGUGCUGAAGGCU
This 119-nucleotide ribosomal RNA is filed under the name Pteropus alecto (black flying fox). The record is from RNAcentral. Lineage: Eukaryota; Metazoa; Chordata; Mammalia; Chiroptera; Pteropodidae.